CCAGACUCCUACGGGAGGCAGCAGUGGGGAAUAUUGCACAAUGGGGGAAACCCUGAUGCAGCGACGCCGCGUGAGUGAAGAAGUAUCUCGGUACGUAAAGCUCUAUCAGCAGGGAAGAAAAUGACGGUACCUGACCAAGAAGCCCCGGCUAACUACGUGCCAGUAGCCGCGGUAAUACGUAGGGGGCAAGCGUUAUCCGGAUUUACUGGGUGUAAAGGGAGCGUAGACGGCGAUGCAAGCCAGAUGUGAAAGCCCGGGGCGCAACCCCGGGACGGCAUUUGGAACUGUGUGGCCGGAGUGUCGGAGAGGCAGGCGGAAUUCCUAGGGUAGCGGUGAAAUGCGUAGAUAUUAGGAGGAACACCAGUGGCGAAGGCGGCCUGCUGGGCGAUGACU
RNAcentral lists this ribosomal RNA (393 nucleotides) under uncultured bacterium. RNAcentral's name for it is "bacterial SSU rRNA". It matches the Rfam family "Bacterial small subunit ribosomal RNA", at positions 331 to 741 of the family's 1533-position model. The record is from RNAcentral.